Molecule: ribosomal RNA, 162 nt
Filed under: Erechtites hieraciifolius
Lineage: Eukaryota; Viridiplantae; Streptophyta; Magnoliopsida; Asterales; Asteraceae
Also listed under: 1 other name
Description: 5.8S ribosomal RNA
Rfam family: 5.8S ribosomal RNA
About the family: 5.8S ribosomal RNA (5.8S rRNA) is a component of the large subunit of the eukaryotic ribosome. It is transcribed by RNA polymerase I as part of the 45S precursor that also contains 18S and 28S rRNA. Functionally, it is thought that 5.8S rRNA may be involved in ribosome translocation.
Source: RNAcentral
AACGACUCUCGGCAACGGAUAUCUCGGCUCACGCAUCGAUGAAGAACGUAGCAAAAUGCGAUACUUGGUGUGAAUUGCAGAAUCCCGUGAACCAUCGAGUUUUUGAACGCAAGUUGCGCCCGAAGCCUUUUGGUUGAGGGCACGUCUGCCUGGGCGUCACAU